Molecule: transfer RNA, 75 nt
Filed under: uncultured Pseudomonas sp.
Lineage: Bacteria; Pseudomonadati; Pseudomonadota; Gammaproteobacteria; Pseudomonadales; Pseudomonadaceae
Description: transfer RNA-Ala
Source: RNAcentral
UCUUCGAUUAAGGAGGUGAUCCAGCCGCAGGUUCCCCUACGGCUACCUUGUUACGACUUCACCCCAGUCAUGAAU